AUCUUAAAAAAUGGACUUCAAUAUCUUAGAACCCACAUUAACCAAAAGCUUAUAAUAGAUGUAUCUACAGUCAAACUUGAAAGAAAGUUUUAUUGUGCAUACAUGAUUUUAUUGAAGUUGAUCCUUGUGAAGGUGUAGUUAUUAUUAUUAGUAUUAUUACUACUUCUACUAACAUUAGUAUUAUUUCCAUCUUUUUUUUCUUUUUUUUCUUUCUUAUUUUCUUAUGUUUUUGAAAUAUAAGCUUUGUAUUAUAUAACAUCCAUGGUUUACAAAACACACACACACUCACC
Molecule: long non-coding RNA, 290 nt
Filed under: Physcomitrium patens
Lineage: Eukaryota; Viridiplantae; Streptophyta; Bryopsida; Funariales; Funariaceae
Description: long non-coding RNA (PPAT_LNC002906)
Source: RNAcentral